Bufo bufo (common toad) is the source of this 493-nucleotide long non-coding RNA. RefSeq lists it as uncharacterized. The record is from RefSeq and is a predicted model, not a curated record. The transcript is spliced from 3 exons. Lineage: Eukaryota; Metazoa; Chordata; Amphibia; Anura; Bufonidae.
UUUGGAAGGUAGGCAUCGUAGCUGAGGCUCGGAUCGCGGCCUUCUUACAAUCCAUUGUCAUCCUUGCCUUUAUGAAGCCAUCCGCUCGGUUUACUAAUCUUAGUAUGUCCUUUGUUCACAGGCUCUUCUUCUCAAGAUGAGAGCCAAGUGGAGGAAGAAGCGGAUGCGCAGGCUGAAGCGUAAAAGGAGAAAGAUGAGGCAGAGGUCCAAGUAAACGUCUCCUCCAUUGCUGCUUACAAGGCCUGCAAGCUAAACACAGCAGUCCAGCGAAGGAUGAAUCUACAGCCUCUGAUCUUCUAGAUGCCUUCCACCUUGGCCCAGUUGGCUGUCUGCAGGGAUGAGAGCUCCCUUCUGGAUUCCGCAAUGCUGUAGAAGCUGAACAGCCCAUGAUGUCUUGGACUGGCAUGCCAGUGCUCUCUGCUCUCAGGAGUUGGACUUGUUAGUUUUAUGGUCUUGUGCAGCAAGUGUAAUAAAUGUUUUUGGUUAAACCAAG